AGCCUAAACCUAAACCUAAACCUCCGACCAUCUCUCUCAGCCUCAUCUCCCUCUUCCCUUUCCUGGAUCUCUUCCCCUUCCUAGAUCGACGCCCCUUAGGAUCAAAACCACCUGCUUCGAUCCUAAGCAAAAUUGCAGUAUAAAUCGUUCCAUUCUGCCUCCUCGUCCGAUCCUCUCUUCCUCCUCCUCCUCCUUCCUCUCUUCACUCUUCCCGGCUAAGGUAGGGGCCGACAAGAUCCGAACAGCUAGAGGACGCCCACGACCACCAUGGCACGGUUGGUCGGCAACAUGAGGGAAUCCGAAGGAAGAGAGAACAACACCGAGAUCUCUGAUCUUGUGUAAAGGGGUCUCCUUCUUCUGAAGCAGAGAGAUCGAGUGCAGUACAAGAAUAACGAAGUAUGUCUGCCUGUUAAAACCCUAAAAUUGCAGGCAUAAAGGCUCUCUGUGCUUCAUUUUCUCCUUCUCGGCCUCUUCGCUCACUGGGUACACGGUCAAAACCUCUCGUUUCCUCUUUUCAUUCUUCUUAAUCGUCUGAUUGCUAAAGGUUGAGGAUGGGGUUUGGGGUUAACCUCUCUAUAAAGCGCCGAAGCCUUUUCUUUUCCCCCGACUUUCUCCUUCUCGCGACUUCGGACUUCACGCGACCGAGACCGGCGAUUUCUUCUUCUCUCGGUGCCGCCGGCGAAGAGCGGACCUUGGAGCGUUGAGAGGAAGAGAGGUUAGUUACAGCCGAACCUUCUUUCUCCCCGAUCCCUUCCUCCCUUCUCUGAUCUCGGUGAACAACGGCGACGGAUCUCGAUCGGUGGAUUUCGCCGGCUGUCGAGAGGGAACCAAGUGCAUCGGCGUUGGAUCAGGCCAGCAUCGAUUGUUUGGAGGAGGUGGUUCUUUCUGGGAAGCAGAGACUGGUAUUUUGGUCCCGACCACCACAGCUCUGUUGGAUCGAUCUCUUCUUCGUAUCAGUGAUCAUCUCCGGUGAUUGAAGGGUGCAGAGAGGAUGCGAUGUGCUUAUUUUAGAUACUGGAUUGGGAAGUGCAGAGAAUCAAGCAAGGGUCAAGGAGUUGCUUCAUGUGGAGGAAUCAAAACUAGAGGAGGAUGAGGGAAAUACCACUCCAGCAGUGAGAUGGGUUCGAGAUGAUAAAUAUGAUUGCAUCCGAUUAAAGCAUUGCAAGGUUGUGACAAAAAUUGAUUGGCAUCGGAAAGGAGACUAUUUCACUACUGUCGUUCCUAGUGAUAUCCUAAUUAUGAAUUUUAGUUGUACUUAUUUUUAGUCAUUCCUAGUGCCUAUUUUAUAUCUCAGUUUUGUUUCUUUCUUUUUUCUAAUACACACUGACAAAUUGGAAAUAUAUAAAAAUCAUGACAUUAUACCUAGUUACCUAGCCUUUGAGGCUGGAAUCAGGAUGAAACCUAAAGUGCCCUGAAAAGUUUAGGCAUACCAAAUUCUCUCAGUUUAAUGACAGAGGUGUUUUAGAUUAUAAAGUUCAUCCGAGGCAGCCAUGGCUAUUCACAGCUGGAGCAGAUUCUGUCAUUAAACUAUAUUGCCACUAAUGAUAGAUUCUCCAGGAAACUUUGAAGAAUCUCCUCGAGUCAAGAUACGUGAGUACUUGCUGAUCCUACAUGAAUACGGUAGCAAGUUCAUGUUCUUUGCUUGAUAAUUUAUUCUUUUUUGACCAAUUCAUUUCCGCAAACCCCUUACCUGUAAGCACCAACUAGUAUCCUUAUUGUCAAGAAUUAAUUUUAUCAACGACUUAUAAGUUUGGUAUGCAUAUUUCUUAUGAUGUUGAACCUUGACUUUGAGACACAUGAUGGCUUUGUUUUAUUUUUUUUGUUGAAUUUUCUAUCCUGUAAGUUUCAACUCCACUAGUAUCAUGUUUCCAUAGAUGAUGCUGUCUUAGAUGUUGGAGUCGUGACUCAUUCUUUAUACUGAUGUUUCUGUGUGGAAUUUUCCCAGUUGUCCUGUUCAUUGUUUGAUGUUUCUGUGUGUGUUGUAGCUGAAUUUGGUUGUAGCUUCUGCAAGCUUUCUUCACUUUCUUCCCUCCACUAUCUGUUAACAAGUUUGAUCUUUACAAUUCAGUUAUAAGAACAAACAAUAUGACCAAAGGUUGACAGCUUUGCUUCAUCCUUUUUACAUUUCAGUAUGUGGAUGAAAGCAAAUAUGUACUGAUGUACCUAAAUGGAUUUACAAAAAUAUCUUUGAAAUGUUUUGUCAUACAGAUAUGGCAUCUAGUAUAAUUUUUUCCAACUUGAUUGUUGCAUUAUCAUAUAAUGAGAUUAGGUGCACAGCUUGCAGUCAGUUUAUUGUUUUUGCUAAAGAUCAUUGCUAGUAGGCCGACAAAAGACAGGUCUAAAAUGAAGCCUAAGAAAACAUGCUUAAGAUGAUAUUUUAAGAUUUUCUAAACAUUGGAUCGUUGCGGAAGGUUGUGAUUGGCACGGCAAGUGUUCUAAAAUGAAGCCAAAGAAAAUGGGGGAGAAAAUAAGGUUGUGACAAAAAUUGAUUGGCAUCGGAAAGGAGACAAUUUCACUACUGUCGUUCCUAGUGAUAUCCAAAUUAUGAAUUUUAGUUGUACUUUGUAAUGCCCGAAAAUUCUCGAAAUUGCAUUAUGAAUAUUCUAUGAUUUUUCUGGAA
Molecule: long non-coding RNA, 2620 nt
Organism: Zingiber officinale
Lineage: Eukaryota; Viridiplantae; Streptophyta; Magnoliopsida; Zingiberales; Zingiberaceae
Exons: 7
Source: RefSeq, a predicted model, not a curated record